GGUCUUACUAUGUUUCCCAGGCUGGACUCAAACUCCUGGGCUCAAGUGGUCAUCCCACCUCAGCCUCCUGAGUAGCUGGGACUAUAGAUGCAUGCCGCCAUGCCCUGCCAAAAUCAUAUUUUUGAAGGUAGUGAUGUGGACAGAACCACCUGUGCUGCGCUGCAGACCCGCACAGAGGUCUACUGGAAGGAAGGAGCUCGAGGCGAGUCCACUGAGCGUGCGCACUUCCCAACUGCCAAUAUUCUACCUAUGCGUUACACUGACUGUGGAAUGCAAAAUAUGCAUGAUUACACAGAAUAUUGUUAUCGAGGAGGAGAUUUCAUAUGAAGGUUGAUCUAUCAUGUGGACAUUCAGCAAGCUCUCGAGGCUCUGCCAGGGUACUCUCCCAGGAAACAUCAACAACAGCUAAGAGUGAGGGGCAUGUUACAGAUAGAGCUUCAGGACCUCAUGUUCUCUGCUGGUGGAUGAGAAGAGUGACCCGCAUCCCUUCUGACCUGUUUCUGAUAGAGUCCAGGCUGCUGUUGGAGGGUUGUUUCUCAAGUUCUGGCAUCUCUGUUGACUUAAGGACCAUUCAACAUGAGAAAAUGGAGCCCACCAAUUUUGUGGCAGGCUUUCACCAGUCUGGUCUUGAUUUGCCACAAAUGCUGGACUUCCAAUUUUUAGCCUCGGGAACUGAUUUCAUUCCUUCCCAUUCCCAAAGGUUCUUCUGUAGCCUGCCAUCAAUUCUGAACAUCAUAUUGUAA
Molecule: long non-coding RNA, 743 nt
Filed under: Papio anubis (olive baboon)
Lineage: Eukaryota; Metazoa; Chordata; Mammalia; Primates; Cercopithecidae
Description: lncRNA (ENSPANG00000039280.1)
Source: RNAcentral